This 449-nucleotide ribosomal RNA is filed under the name uncultured bacterium. Its description in RNAcentral is "SSU rRNA". It matches the Rfam family "Bacterial small subunit ribosomal RNA", at positions 26 to 518 of the family's 1533-position model. The record is from RNAcentral.
AGAGCGAACGCUGGCGGCAGGCUUAACACAUGCAAGUCGAGCGGGCGUAGCAAUACGUCAGCGGCAGACGGGUGAGUAACGCGUGGGAACAUACCUUUUGGUUCGGAACAACACAGGGAAACUUGUGCUAAUACCGGAUAAGCCCUUACGGGGAAAGAUUUAUCGCCGAAAGAUUGGCCCGCGUCUGAUUAGCUAGUUGGUGAGGUAACGGCUCACCAAGGCGACGAUCAGUAGCUGGUCUGAGAGGAUGAUCAGCCUCACUGGGACUGAGACACGGCCCAGACUCCUACGGGAGGCAGCAGUGGGGAAUAUUGGACAAUGGGCGCAAGCCUGAUCCAGCCAUGCCGCGUGGAUGAUGAAGGCCCUAGGGUUGUAAAGUCCGUUUCGGCGGGGAAGAUAAUGACGGUACCCGCAGAAGAAGCCCCGGCUAACUUCGCGCCAGCAGCCGC